RNAcentral lists this unclassified non-coding RNA (354 nucleotides) under uncultured fungus. RNAcentral's name for it is "sequence contains ITS1". The stretch from base 1 to 107 matches the Rfam family "5.8S ribosomal RNA", at positions 50 to 154 of the family's 154-position model. The record is from RNAcentral. Lineage: Eukaryota; Fungi.
GAAAUGCGAUACUUGGUGUGAAUUGCAGAAUCCCGUGAACCAUCGAGUCUUUGAACGCAAGUUGCGCCCGAAGCCAUUAGGCCGAGGGCACGUCUGCCUGGGCGUCACGCAUCGCGUCGCCCCCCGCACGCCGCAAGGCGUCGUGGGGCGGAUACUGGCCUCCCGUGCGCCUCGAGCUCGCGGCUGGCCUAAAUGCGAGUCCACGUCGACGGACGUCGCGGCAAGUGGUGGUUGAAACUCAACUCUCUUUGUGUCGCGGCUACAGCCCGUCGCGCGUCCGGACUCCAGACCCUCUAAGCGCUUAGGCGCUCCGACCGCGACCCCAGGUCAGGCGGGAUCACCCGCUGAGUUUAA